Molecule: long non-coding RNA, 680 nt
Filed under: Mus musculus (house mouse)
Lineage: Eukaryota; Metazoa; Chordata; Mammalia; Rodentia; Muridae
Description: predicted gene 4419 (Gm4419)
Source: RNAcentral
ACUCCUGGGUGCGGCACGGGACCGGAGGUGCUUUCGACCUCCGAGGCUGCGACCGCGUGUCCUGUAGCAGCAACCACUGCAGAUGGGGCGUUGCAGCUCUCGAGCUGCUGCGGCUGCAGCUGGACUUGGCAGGGGUGAGAUAAUUAGCCCUUUUGAUGCACAAGCGCCUUCCUUUCUUCUACCUUCCUGUUCUUGACAAAGGCACCCGAAAGCCAGCAAUUCCCUUAUGGAAAGGUAGAUUCAGGAGAUCUGGGCAGGACUGCGUGGCAGCGUCAGGCUCCCUUAUUUCCUAGCCCUCAAUCCAAUUCCUAGUGAGGUGGCUGUCCUACCGGACUCAAAGAAUGAAACUGCCACCUGGGCUCUGAAGAGAUGCCAGUUCCAGUAGUUCCUCAAGGGUUCAAAGAACUUCAGUGACUGCCACAGGCAAAGUGGAUUCAAAUGCUAAACGGAACCAAGCAGACCGAAGACUGCAGAAAGGAAGGUGAGUCACAUACAUUCAGUUGAAAUCCAGGAGAGAGAAAAACAGCUUCCUUAGAGCAAGAGAGCCCUUCAGCAGUCUGUGUUUGAGUGUCAUCUUGUAACAGAGGCUCCUUUGAAACCUUUGGACUGAAAAUGGAACAUCAACCCUUCUGGGGCUCAGCUUGUUGGCCCACCCUGCCUAAUAAAUCAUUUAUUUACAA